This 23-nucleotide non-coding RNA is filed under the name Mus musculus (house mouse). Lineage: Eukaryota; Metazoa; Chordata; Mammalia; Rodentia; Muridae. The record is from RNAcentral.
UGAGAAAGGCGUUUGCUGGCAUC